GCUGAUAUGGCCGAGUGGUUAAGGCGAUGGUCUUAAGAUCCAUUGUCGCAAGACUCAGGAGUUCGAACCUCCUUGUCAGCA
Molecule: transfer RNA, 81 nt
Filed under: Pyronema omphalodes CBS 100304
Lineage: Eukaryota; Fungi; Ascomycota; Pezizomycetes; Pezizales; Pyronemataceae
Description: tRNA-Leu
Rfam family: tRNA
About the family: Transfer RNA (tRNA) molecules are approximately 80 nucleotides in length. Their secondary structure includes four short double-helical elements and three loops (D, anti-codon, and T loops).
Source: RNAcentral